UACGGAGGGUGCGAGCGUUGUUCGGAAUCACUGGGCGUAAAGCGCGUGUAGGCGGCCUGCUAAGUCUGAUGUGAAAGCCCGAGGCUCACCCUCGGAAGCGCAUUGGAAACUGGCAGACUGGAGUCCCGGAGAGGAGGGUGGAAUUCCUGGUGUAGCGGUGAAAUGCGCAGAUAUCAGGAGGAACACCAAUGGCGAAGGCAGCUCGCUGGGACGUGACUGACGCUGAGACGCGAAAGCGUGGGGAGCAAACAGG
RNAcentral lists this ribosomal RNA (253 nucleotides) under uncultured bacterium. RNAcentral's name for it is "partial 16S ribosomal RNA". It matches the Rfam family "Bacterial small subunit ribosomal RNA", at positions 524 to 776 of the family's 1533-position model. The record is from RNAcentral.